CUCACAGGUGCUGAUUGAUGCCCCACGCCCCCCUGCAAUGUAUGACGUCAGGCCGUGCCCCGCCUUGGACACACGUCGUUGGACCUCCUGGGGCUGUCUCGGCGCAUCCCUAACCUUGGGAACUUCCUAGAACUUUCUAACUGGGCUGGGCUCUGACGCAGGGCAAAUGGGACACAGAUCAACUCAGGAAGACAAAGGCAGCCCCUGCAGGCAGUGGUGGGGUGCAAAUGCUGCCGGCCCAGCGCCUCUCCCCACCCACACGGCGCCAGGACGAAACCCUGAUGUGGCCGGGGCUCCGGCGAGGGCUUUCCGGGCCGACGGUGUGAACUGCACAGGUCAGCGUGGGUUUGCUGGCACUCCCAGGCAGGCGGCUUAAACAGCGGGAGCUCAUUCCCUCCGGUGCUGGGGGCAAGGUGUCUCGCAGCGCUGGUUACCCGAGGCCUCUCUCCUUGGCGCGAAGAUGACGUAUUCCGUGUCCUCACGUGGUGGUCCUGUGUGCUGCGUCCUCGUCUCCCCUUCUCAUGAGGACGCUGGUCACACUGGGUCAGGGCCUCGCUUUACCUUGACAAUCUCUACAGCUCCACGCCCAAGUGCAGCCACACCCUGAGGUCCUGAGGGUCACAGGGUCACAGCUCCAGCAUGAGGAUUUGCCGGGACAGAGUUCAGCCUGUACUGAGCCGAACAGAAAAUCCCCGGCACGCUGUCUCCUCCAGCCUCCAGACCACGGUGGGUGGGGAGGCAACAUUUUACCUCUUGGGGUUUUUUGGUCGGGCCUGAUAAUUAAAAUCAGCAGAUGAGCUGGAGAAAGGCACACGCACUCCAGCACGGUCUGUGUGGCCGGGAAUGGCCUUUCCUUCCUGAAAGAGGAGGUAACACCCCACGGGGAAGACGCUCUCCAGAGCCAGAAGAAAGCAGCGUUCUUAUCCUUGUGGAUGGCUGUUUCAGCUCAAAACAACCCUUACAACAGUGUGGCUUAUUUGGGCAGCCCCUUCUGCCCCUUGACAGGCACCUCGCGAGCCGGCGCACCCCCCCGCCCCCAGGACCCGCUUCCCGCACCCGGGGCUCCUCAGCCAGGGGGAAGCAGGUGUGACCCCCAGGCUGCAGGCUCCCCUCCUUCUGAUCUCUUCUUUUGAAGAGCCCACAGCCUCUCAGCACCCAGGAGGCCUCAGCUCUCUGGGCAAGUGGUGGGUGCAGGGUGGGGGCCUUGGCCUCACACACGCUCUGGCACUGCCUGGCCUCCUGGGACGGUUCCUCAGAGGCACCUGCUUUGGACACUCUGAUGUCGGGAGCCCCGCGGAUGCUGCCAGGAUGGGAGAGGAGGCCGCUGUCUCUCUCCAACAAGUGCUGGGUCGUCUGGAGCAACAAGGGCAAAUGGGCGUCACUGGGGUCUCCACAAAGCCACCUGCAGUCUCUUGGUGGGUGUAUUAGACAGUUUCCAU
RNAcentral lists this long non-coding RNA (1439 nucleotides) under Homo sapiens (human). RNAcentral describes it as "HSALNT0207485". Lineage: Eukaryota; Metazoa; Chordata; Mammalia; Primates; Hominidae. The record is from RNAcentral.